RNAcentral lists this transfer RNA (73 nucleotides) under Thermoplasmata archaeon. Its description in RNAcentral is "tRNA-Thr". It matches the Rfam family "tRNA". From Rfam's summary of the family: Transfer RNA (tRNA) molecules are approximately 80 nucleotides in length. Their secondary structure includes four short double-helical elements and three loops (D, anti-codon, and T loops). Lineage: Archaea; Methanobacteriati; Thermoplasmatota; Thermoplasmata. The record is from RNAcentral. RNAcentral also lists the same sequence under 1 other name.
GCCGCGGUGGCUCAGUCGGUAGAGCGGCUCCUUGGUAAGGAGCAGGCCGAGGGUUCAAUUCCCUCCCGCGGCU